RNAcentral lists this ribosomal RNA (1185 nucleotides) under Arthrobacter sp. BMG5743. Its description in RNAcentral is "bacterial SSU rRNA". It matches the Rfam family "Bacterial small subunit ribosomal RNA", at positions 202 to 1389 of the family's 1533-position model. The record is from RNAcentral. Lineage: Bacteria; Bacillati; Actinomycetota; Actinomycetes; Micrococcales; Micrococcaceae.
AAAGCUUUUGUGGUUUUGGAUGGACUCGCGGCCUAUCAGCUUGUUGGUGGGGUAAUGGCCUACCAAGGCGACGACGGGUAGCCGGCCUGAGAGGGUGACCGGCCACACUGGGACUGAGACACGGCCCAGACUCCUACGGGAGGCAGCAGUGGGGAAUAUUGCACAAUGGGCGCAAGCCUGAUGCAGCGACGCCGCGUGAGGGAUGAAGGCCUUCGGGUUGUAAACCUCUUUCAGUAGGGAAGAAGCCGGCCCUUUUGGGUUGGUGACGGUACCUGCAGAAGAAGCGCCGGCUAACUACGUGCCAGCAGCCGCGGUAAUACGUAGGGCGCAAGCGUUAUCCGGAAUUAUUGGGCGUAAAGAGCUCGUAGGCGGUUUGUCGCGUCUGCCGUGAAAGUCCGGGGCUUAACUCCGGAUCUGCGGUGGGUACGGGCAGACUAGAGUGCAGUAGGGGAGACUGGAAUUCCUGGUGUAGCGGUGAAAUGCGCAGAUAUCAGGAGGAACACCGAUGGCGAAGGCAGGUCUCUGGGCUGUAACUGACGCUGUGGAGCGAAAGCAUGGGGAGCGAACAGGAUUAGAUACCCUGGUAGUCCAUGCCGUAAACGUUGGGCACUAGGUGUGGGGGACAUUCCACGUUUUCCGCGCCGUAGCUAACGCAUUAAGUGCCCCGCCUGGGGAGUACGGCCGCAAGGCUAAAACUCAAAGGAAUUGACGGGGGCCCGCACAAGCGGCGGAGCAUGCGGAUUAAUUCGAUGCAACGCGAAGAACCUUACCAAGGCUUGACAUGAACCGGAAUGAUGCAGAGAUGUGUCAGCCACUUGUGGCCGGUUUACAGGUGGUGCAUGGUUGUCGUCAGCUCGUGUCGUGAGAUGUUGGGUUAAGUCCCGCAACGAGCGCAACCCUCGUUCCAUGUUGCCAGCGGGUUAUGCCGGGGACUCAUGGGAGACUGCCGGGGUCAACUCGGAGGAAGGUGGGGACGACGUCAAAUCAUCAUGCCCCUUAUGUCUUGGGCUUCACGCAUGCUACAAUGGCCGGUACAAAGGGUUGCGAUACUGUGAGGUGGAGCUAAUCCCAAAAAGCCGGUCUCAGUUCGGAUUGAGGUCUGCAACUCGACCUCAUGAAGUUGGAGUCGCUAGUAAUCGCAGAUCAGCAACGCUGCGGUGAAUACGUUCCCGGGCCUUGUACACA